Molecule: long non-coding RNA, 2623 nt
Organism: Alosa alosa (allis shad)
Lineage: Eukaryota; Metazoa; Chordata; Actinopteri; Clupeiformes; Clupeidae
Exons: 12
Source: RefSeq, a predicted model, not a curated record
GAUUGCUCGGCCGCCCUGGUGGUCUGUAGGGGAAAUACCGUACUUGCAAUUGCAGGAGCCCUCGGCUCGCACCCACAGGCUCAGAAGUCUCGUGCAUCGCGAGAGCCGGUCUUGCUUUACGGCGAGAACUGCUACACGCCCCCAGUGAAAGGCAUGCUCGUUGCUAGCGCAGUGGCGAUAUUUGUGCAGUUAUCAUGGUGGAACCAGCGAGAAAACAGCGAAAGCCCAUGUCGGAGCAAGCAAUAAAGAGGAAAAGGGCUCUGGACAGAGAGAGGAGUCGUACACGGGUGAACAUCGGGCAAGCUUUUUCCGAAUGGCGAAAGGCUAAAAGAAAAAAAAGGCUGCAAGGCUGACGCGGACCUCGCGUUUCUGCUGAUGCGAUUGUAAGUAACAUUGGAAUGGUUUCUCUCUCUCUCUCUGUGCAUGUUCAUACUUUCACUGUGUUAGUCAUUGUUUGUACUGCCGUUUUUUCGACUUUUGUAUGAUUGUGGUCUGUUGUUGAGUAGCUAAGUAGCUAGCGGGAUGUUCGUUUUAUUAGUUAGCAAGUUAGUUAGCUUGCUGCCUAAACAUUGUUGUUGUGGUAGGUGAUAACUGCAUCGCUUGCUAUUUGGCAAACUUGCUUCACAUGUGAAGUAUCUCAAGACUGCAUAAAUCUGAAACCAGUACAAAAUGUAGUCGUGUUUGUUAGCCAUAAACCUCACGAAGCUAGUAACGUUAUGUCGGUCUAAACUAGCGUUUACUGACGAUCCUAGAAGCGUUUUUUUGUCUGACUGAUUCAUUUUCAACCACGGAAUGCAUGGUCCCUCUUCCUUUAUCUAAAUGAGUCCCCGACCAAAAAAGUGUCAUUGUUUGUAUUAUGACUUUGUAUAUGAACAUUUCUUUCUCUUUGUUGAAGUUAUAAGCGAUGGCAAGUCACAUCAACGCCAAGCAAGGCACACCCUCGACCUCAAGAGCCACAGUGUCCAGUAUCACUGAGGAAUCGGAUCAUGAUCUCAUUGUUGCUGAACCUGGUGUCCAGCCACUGUCUGUAGGGGGAGAAGUAGGAGAUUUGGAUUCAAGCAUGCACUCUCUGAGCAUUGCUGAAGAACACCGCCCAGACUCUCCAGACAAAGUAUCUUCUGAAGAUGACCUGGAUGGCACAACUGCAAACAUUACCUUCAAUGAGAAUCUUCUGACUCUGGCCAGGCACUUGAGACUGCCACAGCAACAGUGCAGUUAUGUUGACAGAGUGCUUGGGGUAGCAUGCCCGGGUUCUCCACCAUUUCAAAUGACUUUGAAACCUCGGGGGACUGGAGUAAUUUUGGAAUGGUUAAGCCCCUUCGGACACUCCUUGGAAGUGGAAUUCUCAGCCAACCCUGAGGUUUGGUUUGCAGGGUGGUGACUUCAUGCUGUCUGCCAACAUUCUCCUGUCUGGCAACAACUACAGGAAAGUAGCCUUGCUGUUCAAGUUUAUGGUGAUGGUCUCAGAGUCAACUUUCUUCAGGAUACAAGAUGCCUACUGCAUCGAGCCAGUGCAGGAGUACUGGGACAAAACCAGGGCAGAAGUCUUGGAAAGUCUUCGACAAAAGAACCGCGUUGUUGUCCUAGGUGAUGGCAGAAUGGACUCCCCUGGUCAUUGUGCACAGUUUUGCACAUACACCACCAUAGAGCAAGACUCCAGAGGCAUUGUCCACAUCGUCUCUGUUGAUAAGCGAGAAACCAACAGGAAGUCGGUCAUCAUGGAGAAGAAGUGCUUUAUUCGGACAAUGGAAGCUCUCCUUCCAGAGCUUGCCAUCAAAGAAGUUGUCACUGAUGCCCACCCACAGAUCAGUGCAUUGUUGAAUCCAGAGCGUGGUAAUUACUAUGCAUGGGGGAUCCAACACUCACUGGAUAUAUGGCAUGCAGCUAAAAGUCUAAGCAAGAAGCUUUGACGGGUUGGGACUGUAAAAAAUCAAACAAAUAUUCAAGCCUGGAUCACUUUUGGUACUGCAGUAAGCAUGCUGUAAUUGAGGAGCAGUUCAAGAUGAUGUGGGUUGGCGUGCUGCACCACAUACGGGAUGAGCACUCUUGGGCAACUGGGUGCUGUCAGCACGAGCCACUGGAGGAAGGCAGCCAGGAGAAGCAAUGGAUCAAACAAGGUUCUGCCGCUCACAAGGCAUUGGCUGGAGUUGUGCUCGACAAGCGAUGGUUGGGCCUGGUGAAAAAGUUCUUGAACUUCAGGACCACAUCUGAUUUGGAGUCCUUCCAAAAUCACAUCCUCAUGUACUCAUCAAAGCGGCACGCCUACACACCAUUUGUCUACAAGACAAGGACACUACUGGCUGCCAUUGACUACAACAAGCACAAUCGGCGCCUUCCUGCACGCAACCGGGAUGGUCAAAAAAUCUACAGACGCUCAUACAACAAGAAGUCAAAGAGCUGGAGUGUCUACACCAUGAAGGAAAAGAAGCAGUACAGCUACAUUCCUGACCUUCAGAGGGCAAUUCUAGCAAGGAGGCUGGGAAGUGGCAAAGGCAGCCACCACCUACAGCUGAACUUGUAAGCAUACAUGUGUCCCGUGGGGACUUGGGCCACAGAGACACAGAGGACCUAGAGGACUGAGCAGAUGGAUGUUUACGAUCCAAAGUAUUUGAAUUCUGUAAAU